This 412-nucleotide long non-coding RNA is filed under the name Pan troglodytes (chimpanzee). RNAcentral's name for it is "long non-coding RNA NONPTRT007002". Lineage: Eukaryota; Metazoa; Chordata; Mammalia; Primates; Hominidae. The record is from RNAcentral.
GUCAGGUCUUUGAGGUCACGUGGAAGGCACAGGCAGGGGUCAGGUCUGUGAGGUCAUGUGAGAGGAACACGCUGGGGUCAGGUCUGUGAGGUCACGUGGGAGGAACACGCAGGGGUCAGGUCUGUGAGGUCACGUGGGAGGCACAGGCAGGGGUCAGGUCUGUGAGGUCACGUGGGAGGCACACGCAGGGGUCAGGUCUGUGAGGUCACGUGGGAGGCACACGCAGGGGUCAGGUCUGUGAGGUCACGUGGGAGGCACAGUCAGGGGUCAGGUCUUUGAGGUCACGUGGGAGGCACAGGCAGGGGUCAGGUCUGUGAGGUCACGUGGGAGGCACAGGCAGGGGUCAGGUCUGUGAGGUCACGUGGGAGGCACAGGCAGGGGUCAGGUCUGUGAGGUCAUGUGGGAGGAACAC